GGCUUCAUUUUUCCCUAUAGUCAAUGGACUUUAUUUACAUGGCGGAGAACAUUGUCACUUGCAAGUUUUAUCAGAACAAUCCCAAAGGAAGACCUAGACAAAGCUGGCUUGGUUGUAUGAUCAUUUCUGGGUCACGUGGCCUAUCUUGGUCACAUGCAUUUCCCAUGGGUAGGAGUGUAUGAAACAUGGUUAAUUACCAGUAUCGCAUGGAUCCUCCCUAACCUGGAGAUUCUGAAUGACUUCUCUUCUCCUGUACUCUGGCCUUACUCCUUCUUCAAGAUCCGAUUCAAUAAUUAAAUUUCGGAAGCUUUUCUGGACAAGCCUCAUCACCCUGCAUCUUCACCAGGCAGAAAUGACUCCUCUUUCCUUUAUGCCCUGACGUACUGUGUAUGGGCCUUGCAGGAAGCUUGGUGUGAUAGAAAAACACAAGAUUUGAGUAUCUGACUUCUGCCAUUUGAGUGUGUGACAUCUGCUAGUUUUGUGCCCUGGGAAAACUUACUUAACUCACACUUUCUGAGUCUAUUUUUAAUCUGUUAAGUUGGAAUAACAGUAUCUUUAUGCAGUGAAAAUUCAAGGUACUUGAAAUUAAGUACUUCAAAUUACAAUUGUAAAUGUGAAGCAUCUAGUACAGUGUCUAACAUAUAAUAAUGUGCUCAAAAAUGGGAGCUAUUACGAUACAGCCAGAAUUACAAGAAUCUGUUUAACAUGUCUGUCUUUGCUAAACCAUGAGUCCUUGGAGGACGGGGAUCUGUAGUCAUCUUUGUGUCUCUGCACCUAGUCCAGUGUGUGGCACAUGAAGGCAUUCAGUAAACAGCUGUGGAAUGAAUAAAUGUCUCUGCAAUACCUAAGGCCGUUCUAUAUGUGACAGGUGCUUCACACAUGUGUGCAGUGAACACGUCUCUGCACACGUCUCUGAAUGCAGAACCAGCAUUUCUGAGGCCUGCAUAGUCACUGGAUGACCCAUCUGUGAGGGUUAUCAGAGAGAUCUGCUGUCUGUACUGGGGUUAGAAAAAACUACCCAUGUUUCAAUGUAUAGUCUAGAGUGGCCAAACUUUAGUAUUAUGAGGAAAUGAACUCUUUCGCAGAAUGUAAACAUUUACAUUACGCUUUUGCUCCUGGCACUUUUUAUUGUCAGCCCUUUUAAUCAUUCAUUCCUCCCUUUUAAAACAAAGCACACUGAGAUACCUGGUUUUUGAUAAAUUAGGACCAUGGGACAUUAUGGUCCUUUACUAACUGAAACUGGCCCAGGUUCCUUUUCAAGCUCAUCUUUAGUUAUACUCUCAGGUAUCUUAUGGCCACACAGGUUAUGGUAGUGGGAGUUUUAAAACCCAGAUAAUUUUAUUCCAUUCUUAACCCCGAAGCAGGUAUCUAAUAAACAUUUGCUGAAAAACUGAAUCAUACUGAUGGAGUGCCACACAGUGCUGUCACACAGUGAUGUGCCCAGAGGCCACUGAGUGAGGGGCCCUCUCUCUCUAUACUAAGUGGCUCUACUCAUGCCCUUCUUCAUGGCCUUUCUCCCUUUAAUCUGUUGUUAGCAUUGCUACCACUUCUCACUGCUGUUAUCCCAGUAGCUGUCUCUAGCAGAUCGCCCCUUACUUGCUGCCGGUCAGGACACCAGACCAUCAAGAUGGCUGGAAUACUACACAAAUCAUAACAAAGAUUAACCGCCAGGCUGUUGGCAGUGAUCUCCCCUACAGAGUGGAGUAUAAAAGGCUUAAUAACGGCUCAGGAUGGUUAUUUUUGUUCUGCGGGCCAGUGUUUGUCUAACUUCUGUGUUCUAGAAAGUUGAGAUUGAUGGUCUCAAAUCCAUACGAGUGACAUUACUUAAAAAAUUAACAGACUCAUUCUGCUCUGGGAUGUGAUGAGUUUACCACAUCUAUAGUCUACUGAAUAGAUUAUUCUAUUAAAAUUGUGGCUUUGAACAA
This is a long non-coding RNA of Physeter macrocephalus (sperm whale), 1925 nucleotides long. RefSeq lists it as uncharacterized. The transcript is spliced from 3 exons. The record is from RefSeq and is a predicted model, not a curated record. NCBI's taxonomy places the organism in Eukaryota, Metazoa, Chordata, Mammalia, Artiodactyla, Physeteridae.